RNAcentral lists this ribosomal RNA (254 nucleotides) under uncultured bacterium. RNAcentral's name for it is "partial 16S ribosomal RNA". It matches the Rfam family "Bacterial small subunit ribosomal RNA", at positions 524 to 776 of the family's 1533-position model. The record is from RNAcentral.
UACGUAGGGGGCGAGCGUUGUCCGAAGUUACUGGGCGUAAAGCGCGCGUAGGCGGGCCGUUAAGUGGGAGGUGAAAGGCCGGGGCUCAACCCCGUGCAGUGCCUCCCAUACUGGCGGUCUUGAGGGCGGUAGGGAGGAGCGGAAUGGCUGGUGUAGCGGUGAAAUGCGUAGAUAUCAGUCGGAACACCGGUGGCGAAGGCGGCUCCUUGGGCCGUUCCUGACGCUGAGGUGCGAAAGCCAGGGGAGCAAACGGG